Molecule: long non-coding RNA, 821 nt
Filed under: Homo sapiens (human)
Lineage: Eukaryota; Metazoa; Chordata; Mammalia; Primates; Hominidae
Description: HSALNT0358900
Source: RNAcentral
GCUGCCUAUUCAUGUACCUGGCACACAACUGUUGUUCAACAAAUACUUGCAGAAUCACAGGAUUAAUAGCAGAUGCACUGCAGUCCUCCUGGCUCCUGCACUUGCCACAGGAGAAUGGCAGUACUUUGGAGGUUGCCCAUCUCCUGUGGGCUCCAGAAACCUCAGGUCUGUGAGAGUUUUGGCAAGUGGAAGGUGGAUGGCAGUGAUGUGUGUCAUUUCCAGGCCUGGCAACCUAAAUACCUCCUCUGUGCAUUCCACGGUGGCUCAUUCUUGCCUUGUUGGCCAGCCAGAUGCAGAAGAUCCAGCAUAGAGUUCCAAAGCCUCCAGGAUUCCAAGGCAUCUAGGAGAUAGAGGAGCAACUAAAUGCAGGGUGCCUGGGCCCCUGGAGGACUGCAUGGAGCAGAACAACUCUUCCUCAUCCCCCCUUUCUGCUGAUUCCGUGUGGUCUGUGAUGUUGCUAUGAGGAUUCCAAGAAACUGAGUGUGUAAGCCACCUAGUUCUGAACCUCACACAGAGCAGACUAGAUGUCCAGGUCUUCUCAACACUCUGCUUGCACUGCUAGGACAGGCCACUGCCACGACACCUGGCCCUCCCUGCUAACUGCUGAGAACACCUUCAGUUUCCCUCAAAAGAACCAUCAGCCUGAUCAGAAUGUGGAUUACCUACAUCCUGUGGAUCUGAUGAUGGGCCACCCUAGCUGUUUCCUACAGAACACCAGACUCACCUCUCCCUCCUCACUGCUUGGUACUUGCUGCUUGCUGUCUGGGGAGAAUUCUGCUGCCAAAUCAGCUGGCUUCCCUGACAGCUCAGUCCUGUGACUU